Molecule: long non-coding RNA, 451 nt
Organism: Solanum stenotomum
Lineage: Eukaryota; Viridiplantae; Streptophyta; Magnoliopsida; Solanales; Solanaceae
Exons: 3
Source: RefSeq, a predicted model, not a curated record
AAAUAUUAAAAUAGAAAAUGAAUUAAAUCGUGACCCGUUCAAAUAGACAUGCAGUACUCCAAUGCUCAAGUGUAAAGAAACGACCACAGGCAGUUGACUUCGCUGAAGAAAAGUCUCUUCCAAUGGCAUUGCCGGCUUGUCAGUUUCUCCUCAACAAGAGCUUUGUCUAUUACAGUUCACCAAGUUUGAGAAAAACUAGAUCGAGUUCGGCAAUCAUUUUUUGAAGCUGAUAUACAAGAAGGAUAAAAAGAAGUAGAAGCAGCAAAGGAGCAAAGACACUUGUAUUUGAAGUUUGUCAAUACCAAUUACAAGUUGCAGCAAAGGAGCAAAUAUACUUUUAUUUGAAGUUUGUCAAUACCAAUUACAAGUUAUAACUUAAAUUGUAAAAUGAAAACUGAUUAGAAGUUCUUAACUCAUUUUAUAGCUAGAGUAUGAAUGACGAGUUAAGUAG